Molecule: long non-coding RNA, 6420 nt
Organism: Strigops habroptila (Kakapo)
Lineage: Eukaryota; Metazoa; Chordata; Aves; Psittaciformes; Psittacidae
Source: Ensembl
CCCGAGGGCGGCGCGAGCGGGCCCGAGCGGCCGGUGCUCAGCCCCGCUGCGGCCGCGCCGCGAUCCGCAGCCCUCCGUGGGCCGCCGGGCGGGGCUUCGGGCAGGAACGUGCUUCGGCCGGAACCGCUCCACCGGCGGCGCCCGAGCGGGGCUGCGCGGACAGAGCGCUGCGGCCGCGGCCAGCAGCCGGCGGCAGUGCGGGGGGGAACGGCAGACACGCAAACCGACACGCUGGGCCCGGGGCGAGAGAACCCGAGCGGGGUGAGGACGAGAAGCCGCGGUGAGGGGCUCGGGCCGGCGGUGAGCUCCUGCCCCGGCCGCUGGCAUGGAGCCCUGUGCUCAUGUCCCCGGGCACGGAGCGAGCAAGCCUGGAGGUGUAAUGGAUGCGGGGCCCAGAUGGUGUUUUAAAUGAGCAACAGGCGGAGGAGGAAGGACUUAGACCGUCACAAGGAGAGCUGUGGGCAUCGCGGGUGACUGGUGGAGCAGAAAAACUGCCCUUGCCUCGAGCUCAGCCCUGGCUGCUGGGGACAGGAUGGUGACCGCUGCAGCAGUGCUCACCCUCACAAGGAAAAUCCAUUGCGAUGUGAUGUACCGCAGGCCAGCGAUGGAUCUACCCCGUGGCAGGGUGCAGGCGUUUGGGUGCAGGGAGGCAGAAGCCACCUGUGAGGCUUUUGCAGGCUGCCCCCAAUUGCCGCAGUCUGGAGCAACCUGGUGUGUUGGUGGAGACAAUAAAGAACAAGAGUGGGGCAAGUGGCUGGAGCCUUUUGGAACCUACCGAAUAAAAAUGGGCUGAACGUUCCACCCUCCACAUGCCCCAGUCCUUGACAAGAAGUUAAAUUCUCUGGGGCUUGGGGGUAGCAGGAGCUGUUGCAGUACCUGACGAUAACCUGUCAGACAUUGAGGAAGGACAAUCCCCGGGUACCACAACAGAAUUGCAGCAGUUGUUGGGCAAAUUAGGUUAUUAGAGAAAACAUAUAUGCCCGACUUUUGGGUACUUGCUCGCCCACUGUACAACUUGCUUCAGAAAAAUAAGGGAUGGGACUGGAAUCCACAAUUCCUGGAUGACCUUGAUACCCUGAAAAUUAAGCCUAUUAAGAGACUGGGCCCAAUGCACCUGCAGGACCUGUUUAAGAGUGCAGUGGGGAUUUGUCACCACCACUUCAUACUGUGAAGCCUAUGCCUGCUACUUCUGAAAAAGUCAUACAUGGCCUUGCCAGCCACACGCGUGCUGCACGCGGCCCUAUAACACAAGUGUUGGGUGGCGAGAGCCAGCAGGAGCACCGUGGGGAUGCCCAGCCGGCAGUUGCAGGGUGGCCGCGUCUCUGGGCCUGAGCUCUGCUGGGCACGCAGGGGGAGGAGCCUCAAGGUGCUGCCGCAGCCCGUGCACAGCAGUGCUCCCCGGCCGCUCUGCAGCACAGAGGCCACCGCAAGGGGAAGGGGUGGUGGGGCAGGGACCGAGCCUCAGCCAGGCAGGCGGUGGCAAGGAGGACAGCCAGCACCUUACCCCAGCAGCAGCAGCAGCAGCAGCACUUUCCCCAGGCUCCCUUUUGGCGCUGACCCGGCAAGCAUUAGGUCUGCACAGCGGCCCAGCCUGCUCGCUCAGGCCAGGGCUUUGCUCUGCAGAGGCACAGCGGUGGGAGAAGGGAAGGAGGGAGAAGCUGUCCGCCAGGCCAGGGCGGGAGUGCACCUCCCAGAGCAAGGGCCAGCCUGGCAGAGGAAGAUGCGUGGGGCCUCCUGCCGCUCCCUGCGCUCCACGAGUGACGCGUCUCUUUGCCAUGUUUGCUUUGCAGAAUGAGCUUCCCAGAGCCUUUCAGUUUAUGAGACUUGGCAUACGCAGCAAUUGGGGCAAGUCGGGCAACACCUGCAUUUAUCGAGUGCAGGUUCAUGGGAAGGUAACGGGAACGAACGCCGUCGGCCAGGCACGAGGAGACCUCCUGCUCCAGAAAUAAAAAAGAGAAAAGCCUCCGAGCCGAGGAACGUGGCUGUUUGUUAGCGUGGAGCAGAGCGAUGUCGUUCCGCAGGCCCGCUCAAAGGCAGCAUCAGGUCGAGACAUAGCGCGAAACCUGGGCAGGCCUAUUAGGAACUUAAAAACAUUUCUUGUAAAGGCUCAGGCGAGAUGCAGCAGUGAAACAGCAAUUUAUCAAACGUUUUUGCAAAAACGGGUGUCCUAACCGCCAUCUUGUGGUCUUGUUCUGGAAGUUACAUUCGUUUAAUGGCCGACUGCAAAACCAGUAUCUUAAUACUUUUUACAGGCCCGAGAGGUGUGUGGACACCUGGGUGGGGGCAGAGCCCCACACACUGCCCACAAGGAAUUCCUUGCACAACCAGGGAGAAACUCCACUGGGCGGUUCAGAGGUGCAGCAAGCUGCUCGGGUGCCUUGUGCCUGGUGUGAUGGGCAGAUUUGUCCGUUGCUGAGGCUGCUGGAUCCUCCAGUCUGGUCUGUGCACGCUGAUGGGGCAGCCCCACGCAGGAGCCUCCCUCGAGGAGCAGCCAGAGCCCCGGGGAGAUCCUGGUUCAGCUCUCCUGGUUCUGCCCCCCGCCAUGCCUCCCCAUGCCUGUGGGGCCUUCCCCCGCACAGUCGUCUGGCCUGCCUGGGACAUGGCACCCCUGAAGCUCUGGCCCAGCUGUGGGGGCCUUGUGGAAGGGCUCUGGAGGAGUCAGGGGUCCCCAGGGUCAGGGAGGGCUGAGGCAGGGGGGUCCCAGGAAUGGGAGCUGGGAAACCUCAGGGAGCUUCUGGGAACCUGUGGGGUCAGGAGAAGGAAAUAGCAGGGCAGCCAUGAGGCCUGGUGGCCACACAGAGGCAUCUGGCAGGCACAAGAGGUGUGGUGGUGUGCUGGUGGAAUCACCCAAGGGACAGCAUGCAGGGAUUGUAGUGAUAGGACAAGGAGUAAUUGGUUCGAACUGAAACAGGGGCAGUUCAGGUUGGAUAUAAGGAAGAAGUUCUUUACUGUGAGGGUGGUGAGGCACUGGAACGGGUUGCCCAAAGAAGUGGUAAAUGCUCCAUCCCUGGCAGUGUUCAAGGCCAGGUUGGACAGAGCCUUGGGCGACGUGGUCUAGUGUGAGGCGUCCCUGCCCAGGGCAGGGGGGUUGGAACUAGAUGAUAGUAAGGUCCUUUCCAACCCUAACUAUUCUAUGAUUCUACGCCUUGGCACAGGAGGCACAGCCCCUCCGGCCUGUGGACCCAGGCGUAAGUUGUGGGGCAGCAGCACCCGGCACAGGCCCAACAAGGCUCAGGAGCUCGCAUGCUCUGGCUCCCGCAGCAGCUGCCAGGGGAGCCAGUUCUGCCUCUCGGGUCGGGCCCGGGAUGGCUGCGGAUGGGCUGCACCAGGACAACUGCAGCAUCUCUCCCAUUCUACCUCGUGCCCCAUUUGUGAUGUCACAGUCAUGGCCUCAUUCCUCAUAUCUCGGGCCUGGUGUGAGGUCAGCUACAUGGCACUCGGUUCCACGGCUGCCUGGCUGGGAGCAGCUUGCGCUGUCCUGUGGCACUGUGCGGCUGUGGCGGGAGCACUUCUGCCAGGGAUUGGCUUCAGCUUUUGCCUGUGCGGCUGUGCCUUGGACAGGCAAUUCUCUUAGGGCUGAGGAGCUUGCUUUCUCCCCAGCAUGUGGCAGGGAAAGGGUCCCUCAAAAUCACAAGGGGCACCAAGAUCCCCACUCACGAGGAGAGCUGCCGACAGCAUGGAGACUGGGUGUGUUAAUGGGGGAUUUGUUCCUCCUGGGGGCCUUAGCUCAGAGCGAGCACUGGCAGAGCCUACUGCGGGGCUGGUGGGGGACACGGUGGGGAAGCUGACAAGGGCUCUAUGCAGAGCAGCAGCCGUGGGGCUUGGGGAAGUUGCUGAAAGGCCCCCUGAGGCCCCAGGUCCAACUCCUGCGGUGCUGCUGCCAGUGCCAGCUCGGGGUCCUGGCCAGGGGACUCGGGGAUAUCCCUGCUGGUCUUCUGCACAAGCUGUCUCAGAGUGCCUGCUGCAGGCACUGUGCAACUCUGCCUGGGCAGCCUCUAGCAGAGCCGUGGGACAGCUCAGUCUUCUCCUCUCCCCCUGGGUCUCUGCUGCGGAGAGCAGCCCAGGGGACUUUUGGGUGCUGCAGGGAUCUUGGGAAGAUGUGAAUGGCUUUGGAGGAGCCUGUGCCCUCUCCCUCAUCGGAGCAGGACCCCUGGGAUGCCCCUCCAAGGCCAGGCUGGUACAGCAGGGCCUGGUGGGCAGAGGAUGACAGAGGGGACAUGGCUGUGCCGCCUUGCUGCUGCACCACCUGGCCCCCACCAUGGCGGGCCCGUCUCCUGGGAGCCUUCCCCAGGCGUGUCUCCUGGCCAGGGCUUCUGCACCAGCGGCUCCCACCUGCCUCAGACUGCAUGGCAUGGAGACAGAGCGCAAGAAAGACAGGGCUCUGUCUUUCUGCCCCACAGGUUCACCUAUUCUCGGGCGCUCCAGGGCAUGACCCAGCAGUGGCCUGCAUGCUGCAGGGACAGCUCACGACAAAAAGAGAGUAAGUUCAACUGUGCUAUCCCCUGCAAAGCGCUCUGGACUCCUCCAGAGGUGGAGGAGCCGAUGCUGGCAUGACUGCAGCAGACGGGGGACUGCGGGCUGGCCGGCUCUGGGCAUGCAUCUGCCUGACAAGUUUUUGCCAGGAGCUUGAAUCCAAAGGGGAGAGUGAACGCUUGCAGGCUAUUAGCCCCUGACCACAGACAGGGUGGACAGCUUUCUCAGGAAAGAUGCCAGAGGUCCUCUCGUACCCUCCCGCCUCCCCCUGGUGUUAACUGAACCGGUGAGGAUGAGGAGAAGAGGCUGCCUGUCACUCCGUGUUUGGGGCUGCACCCGACAGCCUUGCGGAGCCGGCAUCAUCCUGCUCCAGGGACGGCCUGGGACCAGCUCAGCUACGCAACUGCGGCAGCGCAGACUCCUGUUUCCAUAUCCGUGUGGGAUCCUCCGGCGGCCAUGGGGUACACCCCUAUGGUGGGAGCCCAGAGGCUGAAGCCGGGUGCCGCCCUCCUUCCCUGGGCGCGCUGUCCGUGUUGUGCCUGCGAGGGGUGCUGCCUGGCCCUCGCUCCUCUGCUCCCAGCAUGCACACAGCUGCCCCCUCCCCAGAGCAAAACUCUGGCCCUGCCCUGGCCACUGUGCUGGGGAGGGAGCACCCUGGCCCGGGACCAGUGCCCACCUCCUGCAGCGUCUGACACGCGUCCCAGCGGGUGUCCUCAAGCAGGCUCCUCAAGCUUUUCUCUGGUUACUUGCCAGGCGUGGUCUUGAUCGUUUCUGGCCGUCUGGCGCUGGCUCUGCUGUUCCUCCAGCGAUGGCUCACCACCUGCACCUCCACUGUGAAAGAGAUCACCCAGAUGAAGAGCGGCUGCUUGAUGAUCCUGUGCCUCAUCUUCUCGGCUGCUGUUGCUGGUGCCUACUUUGGGACCUUUCUGCCCAUACGGAUGCUGCGGGCACAGGAGGCAUCACAGGUCCUGCUGGACAAGCCCGUGAAUGAGCUGAUGUCUGUGUGGUAAGAGCCCUCUCCUGGCCCAAAGCUCAUCUGGUGUGGGAGUGGGAGCUGGGCCUGUGCUAUUUGCACUCCCGUGCAAGUGCAGCACCCAGGGCUCGUGCCUUUCCCUCUCUUCGCCUUUUGCUCAAGCUGGAGGUGAAGGAAAGCACUCACAAAGCAGGGAAAGAAAAGGGGGCUCGAGCACCUGUGUCUCUACUUGUCUCCGAGCUCGGAGGUGCAAGAGGGGCUGAGCAGCUCUCUGACAAGAUCCGUUCCGGUGUCUGCAGGAACUCUCUCAGUGUGCUGGGGGAACAAGCGGAGGGGGUGCAACAGCUGAGGAAGGAAGUGAAGAGCCUGGUUGCAGAGAUGAGACAUGUGAAGAAGGACUCCGUGCUCACACUGAACAUCCUGCUGAGGUGGUUGUCUGGCAUGUUUCACUUCCCCAGGAACUUCAGGACAUGAGAAUGGCAAUGUCUGCAAUGCCUUUGGAAGAGAACGUCCAGAUGUCUGCCUGGACUCUGAAAAGCGAAGCUGGAUAUCUCCCCGGGAUAUUGCUGGCUUCUCCAAGCAUCUCAGAGCCAGGUGGUCAUUCGGUUGCCCGCACAAGUCCAGCCAACAGCGAUCACUGUGCAGCACCCCUUGAAGAGGUCCUCUGGGCUUGGGGACAUCAGCAGCGCCCUGCGAGAUUUCACCGUCUCUGGAAUGGAUGAAGAAGGAAAAGAGGAAACUCUGCUCGGGACUUUCACCUAUGACAUAGCAAAAGAGCCGACCCAGACCUUCCCUCUGCAGAAUGAGCUUCCCAGAGCCUUUCAGUUUAUGAGACUUGGCAUACGCAGCAAUUGGGGCAAGUCGGGCAACACCUGCAUUUAUCGAGUGCAGGUUCAUGGGAAGGUAACGGGAACGAACGCCGUCGGCCAGGCACGAGGAGACCUCCUGCUCCAGAAAUAAAAAAGAGAAAAGCC